UGGGGAAUUGUUCACAAUGGGCGCAAGCCUGAUGACGCAACGCCGCGUGGAGGAUGAAGGUCUUCGGAUUGUAAACUCCUGUUGCUCGGGACGAAAAGCUCCGACCUAACACGUCGGAGUCUGACGGUACCGGGUGAGGAAGCCCCGGCUAACUCUGUGCCAGCAGCCGCGGUAAUACAGAGGGGGCAAGCGUUGUUCGGAAUUACUGGGCGUAAAGGGCGCGUAGGCGGCCUGUUAAGUCGAACGUGAAAUCCCCGGGCUCAACCCGGGAACUGCGUCCGAUACUGGCAGGCUUGAAUCCGGGAGAGGGAUGUGGAAUUCCAGGUGUAGCGGUGAAAUGCGUAGAUAUCUGGAGGAACACCGGUGGCGAAGGCGGCAUCCUGGACCGGUAUUGACGCUGAGGCGCGAAAGCCAGGGGAGCAAACGGG
RNAcentral lists this ribosomal RNA (428 nucleotides) under Fusobacteriota bacterium. RNAcentral's name for it is "Fusobacteria bacterium partial 16S ribosomal RNA". It matches the Rfam family "Bacterial small subunit ribosomal RNA", at positions 355 to 776 of the family's 1533-position model. The record is from RNAcentral. Lineage: Bacteria; Fusobacteriati; Fusobacteriota.